UUACUUACCUUGCAGGGGGAAUACCACGAUCAAGAAGGUGGUUUCCCCAGCGUGAGGCUCUUUCAUUGCACAUUUUGGUUAGGUUGACCCCUGUGAUUUCCCCACCUUUGAUUUUUAAACAAGACACAUCUUUGUUGAAUUAUCAGUUUUGAAAUAGGC
This is a small nuclear RNA of Protopterus annectens (West African lungfish), 159 nucleotides long. RefSeq annotates it as U1 spliceosomal RNA. Lineage: Eukaryota; Metazoa; Chordata; Ceratodontiformes; Protopteridae. The record is from RefSeq and is a predicted model, not a curated record. The transcript has a single exon.